This is a long non-coding RNA of Maniola jurtina (meadow brown), 285 nucleotides long. RefSeq lists it as uncharacterized. The record is from RefSeq and is a predicted model, not a curated record. The transcript has 3 exons. Lineage: Eukaryota; Metazoa; Arthropoda; Insecta; Lepidoptera; Nymphalidae.
GCGUAGGGAAUGACUAGGUACAGGUAGGUACUCUCUUUGCUUAUGGCCUAAUAGAAAUAUCUGUCUCCACCUAAAUAAUAGGAUUUUGACCAGCUUUGGGUCAUAUUAUCACUAUACUUAUCAGCUAACUUAAUCGGUAGGUAAUUAAUUGGUUAACCACAAAAGGUUUUCUAAUGGCCAUAUCUCCAUUGAGAAUAGGAUUUUGCCUAGCUGUCUGUCACUUAACUUAAAGUAAACUAGAUAAAGUUCAAAACUAACAUCUGACUGUUGUAAGUAAUCAGCACU